CUGCUUCGCUGACGAGUGGCGGACGGGUGAGUAAUGUCUGGGAAACUGCCUGAUGGAGGGGGAUAACUACUGGAAACGGUAGCUAAUACCGCAUAACGUCGCAAGACCAAAGAGGGGGACCUUCGAGCCUCUUGCCAUCGGAUGUGCCCAGAUGGGAUUAGCUAGUAGGUGGGGUAACGGCUCACCUAGGCGACGAUCCCUAGCUGGUCUGAGAGGAUGACCAGCCACACUGGAACUGAGACACGGUCCAGACUCCUACGGGAGGCAGCAGUGGGGAAUAUUGCACAAUGGGCGCAAGCCUGAUGCAGCCAUGCCGCGUGUAUGAAGAAGGCCUUCGGGUUGUAAAGACUUUUCAGCGGGGAGGAAGGGAGUAAAGUUAAUACCUUUGCUCAUUGACGUUACCCGCAAAAGAAGCACCGGCUAACUCCGUGCCACCAGCCGCGGUAAUACGGAGGGUGCAAGCGUUAAUCUGAAUUACUGGGCGUAAAGCGCACGCAGGCGGUUUGUUAAGUCAGAUGUGAAAUCCCCGGGCUCAGCCUGGGAACUGCAUCUGAUACUGGCAAGCUUGAGUCUCGUAGAGGGGGGUAGAAUUCCAGGUGUAGCGGUGAAAUGCGUAGAGAUCUGGAGGAAUACCGGUGGCGAAGGCGGCCCCCUGGACUAAGACUGACGCUCAGGUGCGAAAGCGUGGGGAGCAAACAAGAUUACAUACCCUGCUACUCCACGCCGUAAACAAUGUCGACUUGGAGGUUGUGCCCUUGAGGCGUGGCUUCCGGAGCUAACGCGUUAAGUCGACCGCCGUG
Molecule: ribosomal RNA, 800 nt
Filed under: uncultured bacterium
Lineage: Bacteria
Description: bacterial SSU rRNA
Rfam family: Bacterial small subunit ribosomal RNA
Source: RNAcentral